RNAcentral lists this ribosomal RNA (1521 nucleotides) under Triticum aestivum (bread wheat). Its description in RNAcentral is "partial small subunit ribosomal RNA". Lineage: Eukaryota; Viridiplantae; Streptophyta; Magnoliopsida; Poales; Poaceae. The record is from RNAcentral.
AUGGCGUCGUCAUGGUCCGAACUCCCACAUGAGCUCUUGGGACUCCUCAUCGCCCGCCUCCCGUUCCCCAACGACCGCGCUCGCUUCCGGGCGGUGUGCCGCUCGUGGCGCUCGGCUCUGCGCUACCACGGUCACCAGGCACGGCAGCUAAUUGUUCGACCAGGAGGCAGCUUCAUGACUCCGUCCGACGGCCGCUCAUAUCCCCUGCCUUCCUUUCCAGACAACACAAUCUGCAUCGGCUCCACCGACGACUGGAUUGCCCUUCGCCACCACGACCACCCUGACGGACGCAACUUCCUCUUACACAAUCCUUUCACGAACACAAGCGUUCCGCUUGAACUCGACGCGGUCAUCGCCAAGGCUACCAAAGUCCGCAAGGUGCUUGUGUGGUCUACCGCGGCUGGUGACCUGAUCGUGGCCGUCCUAACGAACAAUACAAGACGUCCGUUCAUCUUGAGUCGUGGAGGCAAGGACGUCUGGUUGCCCGGGUCGUGGGACCUUCUUUAUAACUUUAUCGUCGACAUCGCCUUCGUGGGAGACAAACUCUACGCGAUCACCCAGGACGAGAACCUCUUUCCGAUUGAUAUAGCAAUGGAUGGUGACGGUAAGCUCAUGGUUGCCGAUGGCAGGCGCGUCGUGAGGCAACCAAGAAGUCAUUAUGGCUAUAAUGCAUGGAGCGAGUCCGAGUCCGAGUCCGAGUUCGAGGAGGAGGAGGAGGAGGCAACUGAGACAUUCAAUGUUGGGGUAGCUGGAACUUCAGAUGAGGAGGCGGUGCGAGCAUCAAAGGAGAAGACGGUGGGGGCAUUCGAUGAGUAUGAUGGUGAAACACUAGAUGAAGAGGCAUCACGGACAACAGACAAAGAUGCAACCGUGCCAUUAGAUGACUUCGAUAAUCAGGAGGUAGUCGAAACAUUAGACGAGGAGGCAACAAAGAUAUCAAAUGAGGAUGAAAAGGUGGUAGGGGGAACAUCAAACGUGGAGCUAACAUGGCCAUUAAACGAUGAUCUUGACGAAGAAUGGGACGUGACAUCAUCAGAAACCAUGAAUGUCGCAUACGAGGAGGAGGGUGAGGAGGAUAUUGAACCAUGGGUAAGGGAUGAGAAUUCUUUAAACGAUGGUUUUGACUAUGUGUACGAUGAUGCGCUCUCCAAGGCUCUUACCAGCAUUUUCCGCUACCUUGUGGAGUCUUGCGGAAAAUUGCUCAUGGUGAAACACUAUAUGCAAUUAACCGCACCUAAUGGUUUGCCAACACGUUUCACUUGCCAAGUAGAGGUUUUCAAGGCGAGUGCAGGCGCAUGGGUUCCGAUGACCGUUGGACUCGGUGGUGACCAGGCGCUCUUUGUCAGCAUGUGUUUCUCGAAGUCGGUUCCCGCAUCUUGUGGUGAUGUCGAGAAGGAUAUCAUUUAUUUUGUCAACACCGGCGAAGUGUUCAAUAUGAAGUUCAACACUUGUAGCCCGGUAAGAUGGAAAGCCAGUAUUACAUUUGAAACAUGGGUCUUUCCUUCAAAGUUGGUGGUUUAA